RNAcentral lists this unclassified non-coding RNA (389 nucleotides) under soil metagenome. Its description in RNAcentral is "partial contains 5.8S ribosomal RNA, internal transcribed spacer 2, and large subunit ribosomal RNA". The stretch from base 1 to 120 matches the Rfam family "5.8S ribosomal RNA", at positions 35 to 154 of the family's 154-position model. The record is from RNAcentral.
GAUGAAGAACGUAGCGAAGUGCGAUAAGUAAUGUGAAUUGCAGAAUUCCGUGAAUCAUCGAAUCUUUGAACGCAAAUUGCGCUUCCUGGCAUCCCGGGAAGUAUGCCUGUUUGAGGGUCAGUGUUAAUAAAAAUCGGUUCGUUGCGAAUUUUUUGUGACGUUCCGGAGUUUGGGUUAUCUUAACUUUUUUGGUUAAGAGGCUUAAAAUUGACCUUUUUUUUGCGCAUUUUUUAGACGUACAUAAAUUUUUUUUUAUUCGUCUAUUCUUAAUGCCAAAAUAUAUUAGAUGCGACCAUAUCGUGUGGUUCCGUGUCUAUAAAUUUUUCAUGAUUUGACCUCAAAUCAGGUAGGAGUACCCGCUGAACUUAAGCAUAUCAAUAAGCGGAGGA